RNAcentral lists this ribosomal RNA (549 nucleotides) under uncultured bacterium. RNAcentral describes it as "bacterial SSU rRNA". It matches the Rfam family "Bacterial small subunit ribosomal RNA", at positions 472 to 1024 of the family's 1533-position model. The record is from RNAcentral.
AUGGUACUUUAUGAAUAAGGGUCGGCUAACUUCGUGCCAGCAGCCGCGGUAAUACGAAGGACCCAAGCGUUAUCCGGAUUUACUGGGUUUAAAGGGUGCGUAGGUGGACUUGUAAGUCAGUGGUGAAAUCCCCAAGCUCAACUUGGGAACUGCCAUUGAUACUGCUAGUCUUGAGUAUAGUUGAGGUAGGCGGAAUAUGUCAUGUAGUGGUGAAAUACUUAGAUAUGACAUAGAACACCGAUUGCGAAGGCAGCUUGCUAAGCUAUAACUGACACUGAUGCACGAAAGCGUGGGGAGCAAACAGGAUUAGAUACCCUGGUAGUCCACGCCCUAAACGAUGAUAACUCGAUGUUGGCGAUACACUGUCAGCGUCCAAGCGAAAGCAUUAAGUUAUCCACCUGGGGAGUACGACCGCAAGGUUGAAACUCAAAGGAAUUGACGGGGGCCCGCACAAGCGGAGGAGCAUGUGGUUUAAUUCGAUGAUACGCGAGGAACCUUACCCGGGCUUGAAAGUUAGUGAAUGAUUUAGAAAUAGAUCAGCUAGCAAUA